RNAcentral lists this unclassified non-coding RNA (197 nucleotides) under plant metagenome. RNAcentral describes it as "partial contains small subunit ribosomal RNA, internal transcribed spacer 1, and 5.8S ribosomal RNA". The record is from RNAcentral.
UCUCCGUUGGCGAACCAGCGGAGGGAUCAUUACCGAGUGCAAACUCAUAACCCUUUGUGAACCUAUAUCUGUUGCUUCGGCGGCUCGCUCUCGGGCGAGCCCGCCGGUAAUAUCAGUAUCUCUGUUUGAACCCGACGAUACUUCUGAGUGUUCUUAGCGAACAGUUAAAACUUUUAACAACGGAUCUCUUGGCUCUA